GGUCGCACUGCUGAUAACAGCUGUGUGUCUCAUCAUAAGGAAAAGAAUGAAAGGAAACAAAAUGCAGAAGAAUGAAAAUCCUGGACUGAGUUCAAACCCUGCAGAGACUCAAACCAAUCAGAACUCGGUGAGAUC
This is a non-coding RNA of Maylandia zebra (zebra mbuna), 135 nucleotides long. NCBI's taxonomy places the organism in Eukaryota, Metazoa, Chordata, Actinopteri, Cichliformes, Cichlidae. The record is from RefSeq and is a predicted model, not a curated record.